This is an RNA transcript of Durio zibethinus, 1883 nucleotides long. It is a transcript of the gene named thioredoxin reductase NTRC-like, with no coding region annotated. Lineage: Eukaryota; Viridiplantae; Streptophyta; Magnoliopsida; Malvales; Malvaceae. The record is from RefSeq and is a predicted model, not a curated record.
UUAUCUGGAAGGCAUGAGGCUAGGGAUAACCCCGAAGACAGCAGCCUUACCUUGACACAAUAGAACUCCGUUACUAAGUGCUGUCAGCAAGUAAUAACUGGCUUUGGCUUUGGCUAUGGUUUUUCUCUUUCUUUUUUCUUACAUAAAAAACAACAGUAUUGUUUUUUAUAUGGUCUGAAAUCCAAUGGCUGUCUCUCCCAACAUAAGAAUCGGAAUCCCAAUCCCCCGCACUUCUUCCACCCACCGUCUUCCCAUGUCCACUCUCUCAUACCCUUUCUUCUUCUACUACUCUUUCCCUCCACGCGCCCUCCGUUUUCACUCUCCCUCCACGCGCCUCCGUCCCCUCUCUAUCCGCCCCAAGGCCUCUGUCGAACCCCACUCCGCUCCAGCUAAAUCAGUGGAGAAUGUGGUGAUCAUAGGUUCAGGUCCUGCUGGAUAUACGGCAGCAAUAUAUGCAGCUCGUGCCAAUUUGAAGCCUGUAGUGUUUGAGGGAUAUCAAGUAGGUGGUGUUUCUGGUGGCCAGUUGAUGACUACCACUGAAGUGGAGAACUUCCCUGGUUUUCCUGAUGGAAUAACUGGUCCAGAUUUGAUGGAUAGGAUGCGACGACAAGCUGAGCGUUGGGGAGCAGAAUUGUUCCAAGAAGAUGUGGAACACAUUGAUGUUAAAACCAGUCCUUUUACAAUACGGAGUACUGAACGUGAGGUUAAGUGUCAUAGUGUAAUUUUUGCUACGGGAGCUACGGCAAAAAGGCUCAGGUUACCCCGUGAAGAUGAAUUUUGGAGUAGGGGAAUUAGUGCUUGUGCAAUUUGUGAUGGUGCAUCGCCAUUGUUUAAAGGACAAGUACUUGCUGUGGUUGGAGGAGGUGAUACAGCUACUGAGGAAGCAUUAUACUUAACCAAAUAUGCUCAGCAUGUUCACUUGCUUGUUCGUAAGGACCAAUUAAGAGCAUCAAAGGCAAUGCAAGAUAGAGUUUACAACAAUCCAAAUAUCACCUUGCACUUCAAUACAGAGACUGUGGACGUUGUUAGCAAUACAAAAGGUCAAAUGUCGGGCAUAUUAACCAGAAGAGUUGAUACAGGGGAGGAAUCUGUGCUUGAGGCAAAGGGCUUGUUUUAUGGUAUAGGACAUUCACCAAAUAGUGAGCUGUUGCAAGGUCAAGUCAAACUUGACAGCUCAGGAUAUGUGCUAGUUGAGGAGGGCACUGCUAAAACUUCUGUUGAAGGUGUAUUUGGAGCGGGAGAUGUGCAGGACCAUGAGUGGAGACAAGCCAUAACUGCUGCUGGAUCUGGAUGCAUUGCAGCUUUAUCCGUUGAACGAUAUCUAGUUAGAAAUGAUAUCCUUGUUGAGUUUCAUCAGCCUCAAACUGAAGAGGUUAAGAAGGAACUGGCAGAUAGAGAUGUUCAAGCAGGUUUUGACAUUACACUCACAAAACAUAAGGGCCAGUAUGCUCUACGGAAGUUGUACCAUGAGAGUCCGAGGCUUAUAUGUGUGUUGUAUACUGCACCAACUUGUGGUCCAUGUCGAACUUUGAAGCCAAUUCUUAGCAAGGUGAUCGAUGAAUUUGAUCAGAACGUACAUUUUGUUGAAAUUGAUAUCGAGGAAGAUCCAGAAAUUGCUGAAGCUGCUGGAAUCAUGGGCACCCCAUGCGUGCAGUUUUUCAAAAAUAAAGAGAUGCUCAGGACUGUAUCAGGGGUCAAAAUGAAGGGAGAGUACAGAGAAGUCAUUGAAGCGAAUAAAUGAGAGUAUUAUGGUGCAUUCUUUGGCUAUCAUCAUUUGUGAUUCAGUUUUGUUCCUUCUGAAAAGUGCAAUAUGAUCAGAUAUGGAUAUGCAACCAUGAGCACCAAUAAAUAUCUAAUUGCCUAAAGAGAUGAUUAACUGUAUG